This 24-nucleotide non-coding RNA is filed under the name Cricetulus griseus (Chinese hamster). Lineage: Eukaryota; Metazoa; Chordata; Mammalia; Rodentia; Cricetidae. The record is from RNAcentral.
CGUCCACUCCACGCAUCGACCUGG